GAGGGUAGAGCUCAGUGGCAGAGCGUGUGUUUAGCAUGCACGAAGCCCUGGGUCCCUGGGUUCAAUCCCCAGUACCUCCA
This 80-nucleotide transfer RNA is filed under the name Camelus bactrianus (Bactrian camel). It matches the Rfam family "tRNA". From Rfam's summary of the family: Transfer RNA (tRNA) molecules are approximately 80 nucleotides in length. Their secondary structure includes four short double-helical elements and three loops (D, anti-codon, and T loops). RNAcentral also lists the same sequence under 2 other names. Lineage: Eukaryota; Metazoa; Chordata; Mammalia; Artiodactyla; Camelidae. The record is from Rfam by way of RNAcentral.